This 492-nucleotide ribosomal RNA is filed under the name uncultured bacterium. RNAcentral's name for it is "partial 16S ribosomal RNA". It matches the Rfam family "Bacterial small subunit ribosomal RNA", at positions 29 to 507 of the family's 1533-position model. The record is from RNAcentral.
AGUGAACGCUGGCGGUAGGCCUAACACAUGCAAGUCGAACGGCAGCACAGUAAGAGCUUGCUCUUACGGGUGGCGAGUGGCGGACGGGUGAGGAAUACAUCGGAAUCUACUUUUUCGUGGGGGAUAACGUAGGGAAACUUACGCUAAUACCGCAUACGACCUACGGGUGUAAGCAUGGGAUCUUCGGACCUUGCGCGAUUGAAUGAGCCGAUGUCGGAUUAGCUAGUUGGCGGGGUAAAGGCCCACCAAGGCGACGAUCCGUAGCUGGUCUGAGAGGAUGAUCAGCCACACUGGAACUGAGACACGGUCCAGACUCCUACGGGAGGCAGCAGUGGGGAAUAUUGGACAAUGGGCGCAAGCCUGAUCCAGCCAUACCGCGUGGGUGAAGAAGGCCUUCGGGUUGUAAAGCCCUUUUGUUGGGAAAGAAAAGCAGCAGGUUAAUACCCCGCUGUUCUGACGGUACCCAAAGAAUAAGCACCGGCUAACUUCGUG